UGGAAACUUGCAGGGGAGGCAACUGGAAACGGCUGGCUUAGGUGACAUGUGUGAUGAGAAGAAAGCAUUUCCUUACAGCAGCUCCUGAUAAGGACACACUUUCAGCUGUUGUCUGCUCACUGCUCCUUCAAAGGAAAGCUCUAGUUUUGGCAGUCGGCUUCCUUUCUCAACAUUCUCUUCCUGGCUCCAUUUUAAAGCCCUUAAACAUAAGUGACUCCGUUUUGUUUCACAUUUCACAGCCUUUCAAUCUCAAUCUGAAUCAAAUGCUACUCUAUUGUAUCUUUGAAAGUUGCUACGAGUAAAUCUUAAAAGUUCUCAUCAGGAGAAAAAAAUUGUAACUAUGUGCGGUGAUGGAUGUUAGCUAGACUUAGUGUGGUGAGCAUUUUGCAAUACACACAUACAUAGAAUCAUUAUGUUGUACAUCUGAAACUAAUAUAUGCUAUAUGUCGAUUAUAUCUCAAUUUUUAAAAUCAGUAAAUAAAUAAAAGAAAAAUAAUUAAAAAAAAUAAGCAUGGAUUAUUCACAUUUGCCAAAGUAAUUGCUCAUUUCAAAUGUUAUCACCUUAGGGUAUCUUUAAAACUUAUUGAACACGUUUUCCAUAAUUGUCAGUUGACCAGCUCCCUGACUGAGAGUCAUGUUCAUUGUCAGAUGAUUAUAACCAUUCUUUUCUUCUAACAGUCACACGGAUAAAAGUUAACAUUCUAGGAUAAAAAUUAAAUUUAUGUAUAUUUAUAGGUUUUUUUCUCAGUCCAAAUUUGGCAUCACAUUUUGGUUUGGAGAGAAGAUUGAGUCAUAACUUUAAAUUUGCAAGAACUUCAUGGAGUGUGAAGAGAAGCUCCUGUCCUAAAUUACAGAGUUUAGAUCAUUGGAGUUGCUUCUUCGUGAGAGAAAAAACAAAUGCUUGAGGGGAAGAGCCUGGGAGCAUUCCAGAAAACGCUCGUAAAUUCAUCAUCACAUGUUCUCCAUUCUUUCAUCUGGACCCACAACAUCUGUUGGUUGGCGGUUCCUAUGGGUACCAGAGAGCAUGUAAGCAAACCUUAGGUUUUAUAGUAUUUUCCUCCCCUUCAGUAACUGAACUUAUCUAAUUCGUGUCAAGUGCCAUUUGAGAGUCUGCAGGGAGAGGCAGAGAAUGUGAGCAAAGAUCUAUCAGACCCUGGAGGCUUCCUAAAAGUAAAAGGUUGGUUAGGAUGACCAACUGCCGCUAAACUGCUCUUGCUGUGUCAAUUCACUUUCCCUUGGUUUGCAAAGUGGCCUCG
Molecule: long non-coding RNA, 1256 nt
Filed under: Equus asinus (donkey)
Lineage: Eukaryota; Metazoa; Chordata; Mammalia; Perissodactyla; Equidae
Description: lncRNA (ENSEASG00005032849.1)
Source: RNAcentral